Molecule: long non-coding RNA, 1427 nt
Organism: Camelus dromedarius (Arabian camel)
Lineage: Eukaryota; Metazoa; Chordata; Mammalia; Artiodactyla; Camelidae
Exons: 4
Source: RefSeq, a predicted model, not a curated record
CGAGGUGUCAGGUUUAGGAGCCUGGGCGCUGCUGAGGGCAUAGCUGCCAGCACCGUGCUACACCGAGGCUGGCUCCGUUCACCUCACAUGUCACCUCCUGCUGAGCCCCCAGGCGUCAGUCAAGUACGUUUUGGUUACUGAGUCCCUCGAAUUCCCAUAUGAAUAGUAGCAGCAGCUAGUCAGUUACUGCAGAGGAGCCCGCUGGGAUUGUGAUCGAGACCACGUUGAGUAUACAGAUCGCUCUGGGGAGCACUGCCAUCCCAAGAGCGCUGUCAUCUGAUCCAGGAAUGUGCGUGGUGUGUCUGUCCAGGUGCCCUCACCUCCAGUGGCAUCCAUCCAGACACCAGCACUGACACUGGCCGUGCUCACAACUGCCUUAGCCCUGAAGACACAACUGACAAAUAGAAGGGGGCUACGCCCUAAGACAGCAGGUGCUCUUACUUUGUGGGUCCUUAUGUAACUGCGCGGUGUUAUUCAGGAUCGCCCGUUCUACACUUUGUGACGCUGCUGCCGUGUCUCCUAGUUAUUUCUGAUCUGAGAAGCAGGAGCAAGGAACUCAGGGAGAGAUCCAGGAAGACAUCUGACUCUGUUAAGAGACGACAGUCACAGCGACACGGGGAGCGAGGACACUUGCAGCAAAGUAAAAUGACUUCACAACUAUUGCAUCAGAGCUGCAGGUGUGAGAGAGCCUAAGCCUGUCUCAGAGUGCAGGGGACAAGAGGAAAGGAAUGGUAAAAUUAACACUGACAAUUGAAAUUUUGUUAAAUAGCCUGCUAAUAUUAAUUGUAUCAAAUGAAUGUAUGCAGGUGUAUUUCUAUGAUCAUUUAUAGGUACACACAACCCCACCAGCCCCUCUUUCUCCCAUCGGGGAUGGGCUUUCUCAAGCACAGUGCCCCUCCUGGUUGAGUGGGCCACGCUGCGGGUCCUCGUCUGGGGCCAGGCUGCUGCAGGACACUGAGUCCCCGAGGCACGGCCUGGGAGACAUGACAGGAACAUCUCUGCUCAUAACUGAGAGCCUCCGUUUCCCCCUGCAGUGUAAGAAUGCCGGUGACUCAGUUAGAAGCAUGCAUCCAACCCGUCCUUCCGUGUCAUCACCAUCUAGAAUCGGUGCCUGAAUCUUCUGAAUUUCUCCAGAAUGUGGUUUAAAAUCACCUUCGACAAUUGAGUGUGUGUCCUCUUACAAGUGGAGGAAUUGCUGCCGUUUCCCUGGAACUUACUCACCACUAGUCCAUCUGAUUUUUCUGUGCUAGGAUUCAGUAUGGCAUGCUAAAAAUUCUGCAGUCAGAUCUUGAAACACUGAUGAAGAGGAUUAUUUAUUUUAUUUCUUUAUAUGAUAGUGUUUUACUUUCAAAAUUCAGAGUUUUCGGUUCUUUCAAAAAAUUUUUUGGGGGUUGGAGAAACAACUUUGCUCUUACCAUCUCUGUGAC